UAAGUCCCGCAACGAGCGCAACCCUUUUCCUUACUUGCCAGCAUUUCGGAUGGGAACUUUAAGGAUACUGCCAGUGACAAACUGGAGGAAGGCGGGGACGACGUCAAGUCAUCAUGGCCCUUACGGCCAGGGCUACACACGUGCUACAAUGGUCGGUACAAAGGGUUGCUACACAGCGAUGUGAUGCUAAUCUCAAAAAGCCGAUCGUAGUCCGGAUUGGAGUCUGCAACUCGACUCCAUGAAGUCGGAAUCGCUAGUAAUCGCGGAUCAGAAUGCCGCGGUGAAUACGUUCCCGGGCCUUGUACACACCGCCCGUCACACCAUGGGAGUUUGUUGCACCAGAAGUAGCUAGCCUAACUGCAAAGAGGGCGGUUACCACGGUGUGGCCGAUGACUGGGGUGAAGUCGUAACAAGGUAGCCGUAGGGGAACCUGCGGCUGGAUCACCUCCUUAA
This 453-nucleotide ribosomal RNA is filed under the name Acinetobacter baumannii. Its description in RNAcentral is "partial 16S ribosomal RNA". It matches the Rfam family "Bacterial small subunit ribosomal RNA", at positions 1081 to 1533 of the family's 1533-position model. Lineage: Bacteria; Pseudomonadati; Pseudomonadota; Gammaproteobacteria; Moraxellales; Moraxellaceae. The record is from RNAcentral.